Molecule: long non-coding RNA, 248 nt
Filed under: Pan troglodytes (chimpanzee)
Lineage: Eukaryota; Metazoa; Chordata; Mammalia; Primates; Hominidae
Description: lincRNA
Source: RNAcentral
UGUCUAGUUAGAAUAUAUGAUCCAGGUAACCCAACCUAUCGCCACAUUUCUUUUUGGUUAUUAAAGUAAAGCACACAUGCGAACUUAUUUAGAUACCCAAAGAUAUGGCAGGCAUCUUUGAACUAACGCACAGACUUGUUCUCUUUGUUUGAAAUUGAUUCAAAUGAGUCAUAUGAUCUGUACAAAUGCUCUUCCUGUUCUAGAGUAAGACAUGCUAAAUGUUUAAUAAAUGAGUGUGCGCUUCCCAG